This 533-nucleotide ribosomal RNA is filed under the name Bifidobacterium pseudocatenulatum. RNAcentral's name for it is "bacterial SSU rRNA". It matches the Rfam family "Bacterial small subunit ribosomal RNA", at positions 160 to 705 of the family's 1533-position model. Lineage: Bacteria; Bacillati; Actinomycetota; Actinomycetes; Bifidobacteriales; Bifidobacteriaceae. The record is from RNAcentral.
GUGGUAAUGCCGGAUGCUCCGACUCCUCGCAUGGGGUGUCGGGAAAGAUUAUAUCGGUAUGGGAUGGGGUCGCGUCCUAUCAGGUAGUCGGCGGGGUAACGGCCCACCGAGCCUACGACGGGUAGCCGGCCUGAGAGGGCGACCGGCCACAUUGGGACUGAGAUACGGCCCAGACUCCUACGGGAGGCAGCAGUGGGGAAUAUUGCACAAUGGGCGCAAGCCUGAUGCAGCGACGCCGCGUGCGGGAUGACGGCCUUCGGGUUGUAAACCGCUUUUGAUCGGGAGCAAGCCUUCGGGUGAGUGUACCUUUCGAAUAAGCACCGGCUAACUACGUGCCAGCAGCCGCGGUAAUACGUAGGGUGCAAGCGUUAUCCGGAAUUAUUGGGCGUAAAGGGCUCGUAGGCGGUUCGUCGCGUCCGGUGUGAAAGUCCAUCGCUUAACGGUGGAUCUGCGCCGGGUACGGGCGGGCUGGAGUGCGGUAGGGGAGACUGGAAUUCCCGGUGUAACGGUGGAAUGUGUAGAUAUCGGAAAGA